UAGGUUGACCAACUGUCCCAGUUUACGUGUGUCUGAGAGGGCUUCUAGAACACGGGACUUACUGUUAACUGUCCCAGUCAAACCACCCAGGUUUCCUGUGACUGAGGAGUUUUCCAGGAUGCAGUUCUAAAUUCAGGGAAGUCCCAAGCAAAACAAAAUGACUUGAUCACCCUAUCUGUAGGAACUGCCUGAAUGGUAGCAAGAAGAGUGGAAAUCACUGUCUUGCUCCUUACAUUAGAGGUUGUAAAUAUAGGACCAUGAAAUGAGGAGGCCAGUGAAAGAACAGAAGAGAAAUCCUGCAAAGCAUCAUGAGAGAAGACUAAGUCUUCAAAAUCCAGUGUAUCCUUUAUACUUACAAGACAUCUUAAUACAAAAUGGCCACAUUUCAAGUGUUGCUAGCCACUGUGGUUAGUGGCUGUUGUAUUGGAUGGUGAAGGUUGAAUGAAUAUAGACUGUAAACAUAAACUGAAGGGGAUACUAUCUCCUCUGCUCUGUGGAAGCCAACUUGAACGAUCUAAGUAGACAACACAUGCUCUCAAUCUUAGCUGAGUCCCACUCCUACAUUCAGACAAUAGCUCUACUCUCUACCCUAGGUCAUUGGGG
This is a long non-coding RNA of Mustela erminea (ermine), 603 nucleotides long. RefSeq lists it as uncharacterized. The record is from RefSeq and is a predicted model, not a curated record. NCBI's taxonomy places the organism in Eukaryota, Metazoa, Chordata, Mammalia, Carnivora, Mustelidae. The transcript has 3 exons.